CUUCUUCCUCCCGGGUUCUGUGAGCUUCAUCAGCUCGCCUUCAUUCUCACCCGGCUCAUCUCGUUCCGCAUUCUCUCAGUCCUUGUGGCCGUUCUUGUGGCCCAGAGUUUUGUCUCCCCAUUGUGUCCCCUCGUCUGUUGUCUGGUGUGUCACGGGUGUCUGGGUGUAGUUGUCCCGGAGCUGCUCUGCCCUGCUGCCCAGCCGCCCAGCCUGGCUGUAGGUGUAAAAGGCCAAGUCCCAGGCCCCUGUAAUUUGAAAUUUGUGAUGUAGGGUGUAGUUGGGGUCUAGAACAUAUUCCUAGAUCAACACAACAUGUCUGGAGCUGUGAAGUUACCCUGCAGCGCUUUGACUUUUGUCUCAGCUUUCUUUCAGAUGCGGAUGCAUGGAAUCGGUGGCAGAGAGCCCCAUCCAGGGUAAGGGGGUUCCCCCGAGAAGGAAACAGAGCCGGCUAGCAGCAGUCAAGGUGAAGUGGGCAAGGCGGUCCAGUCGCGUUUCGUCGAGACCCCCGUCGCCAGCCGGCCGGCACGCCUGCUUCGCCGCUCCCGUGAGCCCUGCGGAAGCGUUACAGGGACUGCGUGACGGAGCCUUUUCCACGUAAAGGGGCCGUGUGGGUGGCCUUCAGGAAGGGGCCGAGGGCUUCCCGCGCGCCCUCUGCGACGACGGUGUCUGGUCCUGGCGUGGCGGUAUCAUGCGGCCUUCAGGACACGGCCGUUUGCAGGACACCCUGACGGAGAGACGACAGCCUGGCGAUGGCAGGAACUUCCCGGAUAGCCAGGCGGCCUUCCUUGGCGCUCCGUGUGGAUCCUCCCCACCGGGCAUCCGAGAGCUGAGUCGAAGGCUACGAGCCGCAGAGGGGAUGAAAGCGGGGGUGCCGGGUCGGGACAUGUGACCUGGGAUUUUUGAGUCAGCUUUGGGGACGGGGAGGUCCAGGCUGUGGCCCCUUAGGCCACACGGUGGGAGAGCCUCACUUUUGUUCACAGUGCUGAGGUGUGCAGGACAGAGCAGCCUCGGGGCGCAUCGUGUCACUUGUCCGUCGUGCCUUCUGUGUCUUUUGUGCCUCUUGUGUUGUACGUGCCUUGCCCUAUCUCUUCUGGGGCCUUACCAGAAACCCCAGCAUCGCUUAUAGCAUCUCCGAUCUCUGGGCUCCUCGGCUCAGCAGCUCUCGGAGGCCUUGGAAUCGCGUCUCUUUUGACAAGCAUCCGAUCGGAUGUCUUUUAGACGUCUUGUUCCGAGCUGUGUCAACAGCCGUGCGCCGCGAGGAUCCAUUGUUGCGGCUUAGGACUUGAAGGAACGCAAAGAUAGGUAGAGGAUUGCGGCCAUAAGAUUCUUGGGCAUCCGUCUUGGCGGUUCCUGGAGUUUGUCAUUCCUUCAGCAUCUUCUUCCUCCCGGGUUCUGUGAGCUUCAUCAUCUCGCCUUCAUUCUCACCCGGCUCAUCUCGUUCCGCAUUCUCUCAGUCCUUGCGGCCGUUCUUGUGGCCCAGAGUUUUGUCCCCCCAUUGUGUCCCCUCGUCUGUUGUCUGGUGUGUCACGGGUGUCUGGGUGUAGUUGUCCCGGAGCUGCCCUGCCCUGCUGUCCAGCCUGGCUGUAGGUGUAAAAGGCCAAGUCCCAGGCCCCUGUAAGUUGAAAUUUGUGACAUAGGUUUUACUUUGGAAUCUAGAUGCUUUUUCUACAUCGACACUAGAUGUCUGCAUUUGUGAAGUUUUCCUGCAGCGCUUUGAGUUUUGUCUUAGCUUUCUAAGCAUUUUAUUAUUUGCUGCCCAAUGUGGGGUUCAGAAGAGUAAGGAAAACCUAUGCUGAUUAUGUUGUAUUGGUACUUACUGUGUGCUGGGAUAAAGGACUUUGUAAUGGUGUUACUUAAGUUCAUGUCUCUCAGGGUGGAGGCCUUUAUGUUGUUCUAGUCUCUGAGGUUUUUUUCGAGGUUUUAAUGCCUUUCUUGUCCCUAAGUUUAUGUUCUUAUCCAAAAAUAACUCCAAUAGUGUCGCUACUACAUAACUUUCACAGUAAAAGAGCACAGAUUAAAAUAGCUGUUAUGCUAAGCUCAGUAAUAAUGAUGGAUAAAAACUUUAUAAAAGUACUGAAAUUUGUACCAAA
Molecule: non-coding RNA, 2090 nt
Organism: Cyanistes caeruleus (blue tit)
Lineage: Eukaryota; Metazoa; Chordata; Aves; Passeriformes; Paridae
Source: RefSeq, a predicted model, not a curated record